GGGGCACACGUCCUCUACCUAUCAAAUCGAGCGGACCUCUUCGGAGGUCAGCGGCGGACGGGUGAGUAACACGUGGGCAACCUGCCUGUAAGACUGGGAUAACUCCGGGAAACCGGAGCUAAUACCGGAUACUAUGUCAAACCGCAUGGUUUGACAUUCAAAGACGGUUUCGGCUGUCACUUACAGAUGGGCCCGCGGCGCAUUAGCUAGUUGGUGAGGUAACGGCUCACCAAGGCGACGAUGCGUAGCCGACCUGAGAGGGUGAUCGGCCACACUGGGACUGAGACACGGCCCAGACUCCUACGGGAGGCAGCAGUAGGGAAUCUUCCGCAAUGGACGAAAGUCUGACGGAGCAACGCCCCGUGAGUGAUGAAGGUUUUCGGAUCGUAAAACUCUGUUGUCAGG
RNAcentral lists this ribosomal RNA (405 nucleotides) under Bacillus sp. QS17. RNAcentral's name for it is "bacterial SSU rRNA". It matches the Rfam family "Bacterial small subunit ribosomal RNA", at positions 39 to 443 of the family's 1533-position model. The record is from RNAcentral. Lineage: Bacteria; Bacillati; Bacillota; Bacilli; Caryophanales; Bacillaceae.